Oreochromis aureus is the source of this 600-nucleotide long non-coding RNA. RefSeq lists it as uncharacterized. NCBI's taxonomy places the organism in Eukaryota, Metazoa, Chordata, Actinopteri, Cichliformes, Cichlidae. The transcript has 3 exons. The record is from RefSeq and is a predicted model, not a curated record.
CACUGACCCUGUCACUCAGAAAGUGAGGUGAAGGUGCAUGGUGCUCCCGGGUUUUUCUCAUCUCAGCAAGAGGAGUGGAGGCAUCUGCUACUCAAUCCGAGAAACGCAGGGACGAAAGAGAGGAAAAACUCAGAAUUGAGAGGAAGGAAAGCCAGCAUACUUACCUGCUGGACGUCCGGAGUCGAGUGGUUGGAUGAAGGAGAGAAGCAACGUCGGCUAACCACUCACCUUUCAUCCGGAGAGCUGCUGCAAUUCCGACACCAGUGUGUGUUGGGCUUUUGUGAAACAGAGCAACGGUCAGGUUUUUUUGGAAAGGACAGAAAAGUCCAAGGACCAGGACGAAAUUCCGGUCGUGAUAGAUGGCGAGCCAACCACUUUGAGGACGAUCCACCCCAAAGAAGAUACACACCCACACACUCAUACAUUCCAAUUACACUCACAAGGACCUUUGAAGUUGGCUGUUGCCAACUUAACUCUAAAUUCUUAAAGGGCCCCAACGAGUACUUUUAUUUUGUUUAAGUGUGCACACUAUUUAUUUUAUUUUAUACUUUUUCCUGUACAAAUUGGACAAUAUCUGUUAUACUUUGUAACAAUACAAGA